Molecule: long non-coding RNA, 1589 nt
Filed under: Medicago truncatula (barrel medic)
Lineage: Eukaryota; Viridiplantae; Streptophyta; Magnoliopsida; Fabales; Fabaceae
Description: lncRNA gene34257
Source: RNAcentral
AAAAUGCAACGUAUGAAAAGAAUAGAAAAAGCAAUCAAACAGUAACAUUUAGUUAUAGAAAGAAUUUGUUACUUAUUUAUACAACGUUGAAUCGCUUAAAAUGCAAUCAUCAAAACAUCAUGAACACUUUUGUCCAAUAAUAGAACCAACCUCAAAAAACACCAAAUUCAGUCUUGAAAGAAAAUUGUUGCUUUUGCUAAUGACUACCACGACAAAUUUGACUCAAUUCCUCUCAAGGUUUGAGAGCCAAAGCUAUUCCAAUUCUUGCACUCUUCUCAAUGGCCUUGGUGUCCACCUCACCAGAAAUGGUGAAGAAUGAUUUUGGACGCCACUCAUGCUGGAUGAGACCGCUUGCUAGUCCGAAGUUGUUGAAUCGAAGCUUCGCUGUGGUCAAUGAGUCUAUUGCAUGCUGAGUGCCAAGUGUGAGCGUGUUUUCUUUGGUCGAGAAUCGAUGUGAUACCUCAGCUCCAACAGCUGUUUUGGUAACGGGAUUGACGACAUGGUAGUAUGAAGCAUUCAGGGCAUUAGCUUUUUCAUUCCUGCAUACAUUUACAAUAUCCCAUAUCCCCAUAUACAAAUUUCAAUCAGUUCAGAAACAGAACUAAGCAAAAGAAUUUUAUUGAUGCAACUAAUAAAACAAAAUCACUUAUUUCUAAUUGGUAACAAACAGGUUCUUAGAGAUUAAAUUUUAGAUAUUCUACAGGAAAAAAAUAAGUUAUUUCGAGUUAGUUUUCCAAAAUGAAAAUCACUUUUGAAAAAAAAAAAUCAUCGAAAAUAAUUUUAAGAGAAGCUACUCAAAACAACUUCAUAUUUCAAGCAGCUUUUGACAUUAGAAGUAUCAACUUAUCUAUGCCAAUCCGUCCUUCAAGGUAAAAAAGGAUGAAUAAUUUUUAUAAUUGAAGUUUUAUUUGAAAAAAAACACUGACAAACAGACCCUUAUAUGUAAAGAGGCAGCUACUGCAACAAAACUGUAAUGCAUCAACUAACUAGGCAAGGUUGACUAAAGGUAAACAGACAACUUAGAAAAUAGGAAACAGAAAACUAUUAAAUGAAUGUUGCCUCUCAAGCUCACAAAAUGCGCUUUGAAGCCUUAGAAAAUACAAUAAUCUCCAAUUCAUUUGUAAUUGUAAGAAAAAUCAGCUAAAGACUAAUUUUAAAAUUCCAAAGUUACCACAACGCACCAACAUUUCAGAUUAAAUGCACAUCUAGUAUCCAACGUGUUGUUGUCCAACACCGACACAACAUUGACUUGUGUAUUUAUAUUCAAUAACUUCUAUUUUCUUAAAUAGCAUUGGUGUCAACAUGUCAAUGUUAGUGUCGUGAUCAAUGUUAGGGUACAUGCAUGUGUCUGUUGUGCACGUAACUUACAUAAAUUAGAUAGAAAUAAGUGACACUUCAAUUAGAAACCUUGUGCUAGAAAGGGACGAGUAUUACUUACAGAGUCAACGAAGCAAUCAAAUCGUCUUUGGUGAAGUUCAGCCCAGCAUUAAGCCUUGUGAACACGCCAGUUUUAGUGUCAUAAGAAAGAUCACCACCAAGAGCAACUACAUUAUUUCCAAUAACACCAGAAAAGUUGGCAACUGGGUUUG